UUAACAAAAACAUGUCUUUUUGAGUUAUUUUAAAAGUCUGACCUGCCCACUGAAAUUAUUUAAAUGGCCGCAGUAUUCUAACUGUGCAAAGGUAGCAUAAUCAUUAGUCUUUUAAUUGAAGGCUGGUAUGAACGGUUGGACGAGGUAUAAGCUGUUUCAUAUAAAUUUAUAAUAGAAUUUUAUAUUUUAGUCAAAAAGCUAAAAUUUAAUUAAAAGACGAGAAGACCCUAUAAAUCUUUAUAUUUUAAGUUGUUUAAAUUUUUUAGAUUAGUUUUAUUUUUAUAAUUUAGAGUAUUUUGUUGGGGUGAUAUUAAAAUUUAAUGAACUUUUAGUUGUUAAAAAUCAUUAAUUUAUGAGUUAUUGAUCCAUUAAUAGUGAUUAUAAGAUUAAGUUACUUUAGGGAUAACAGCGUAAUUUUUUUGGAGAGUUCAUAUCGAUAAAAAAGUUUGCGACCUCGAUGUUGGAUUAAGAUAUACUUUUAGGUGUAGCCGCUUAAAUAUUAAGUCUGUUCGACUUUUAAAUUCUUACAUGAUCUGAGUUC
RNAcentral lists this ribosomal RNA (541 nucleotides) under Bactrocera tryoni. RNAcentral's name for it is "partial 16S ribosomal RNA". It matches the Rfam family "Bacterial large subunit ribosomal RNA", at positions 1804 to 2612 of the family's 2925-position model. Lineage: Eukaryota; Metazoa; Arthropoda; Insecta; Diptera; Tephritidae. The record is from RNAcentral.